GACGAACGCUGGCGGCGUGCUUAACACAUGCAAGUCGAACGGAAAGGCCCUGCUUUUGUGGGGUGCUCGAGUGGCGAACGGGUGAGUAACACGUGAGUAACCUGCCCUUGACUUUGGGAUAACUUCAGGAAACUGGGGCUAAUACCGGAUAGGAGCUCCUGCUGCAUGGUGGGGGUUGGAAAGUUUCGGCGGUUGGGGAUGGACUCGCGGCUUAUCAGCUUGUUGGUGGGGUAGUGGCUUACCAAGGCUUUGACGGGUAGCCGGCCUGAGAGGGUAACCGGCCACAUUGGGACUGAGAUACGGCCCAGACUCCUACGGGAGGCAGCAGUGGGGAAUAUUGCACAAUGGGCGGAAGCCUGAUGCAGCAACGCCGCGUGCGGGAUGACGGCCUGCGGGUUGUAAACCGCUUUCGCCUGUGACGAAGCGUGAGUGACGGUAAUGGGUAAAGAAGCACCGGCUAACUACGUG
RNAcentral lists this ribosomal RNA (468 nucleotides) under uncultured bacterium. RNAcentral describes it as "partial 16S ribosomal RNA". It matches the Rfam family "Bacterial small subunit ribosomal RNA", at positions 28 to 507 of the family's 1533-position model. The record is from RNAcentral.